UACGGGGGGGGCAAGCGUUGUUCGGAAUUACUGGGCGUAAAGGGCUUGUAGGUGGCCAACUAAGUCAGACGUGAAAUCCCUCAGCUUAACUGGGGAACUGCGUCUGAUACUGGAUGGCUUGAGUUUGGGAGAGGGAUGCGGAAUUCCAGGUGUAGCGGUGAAAUGCGUAGAUAUCUGGAGGAACACCGGUGGCGAAGGCGGCAUCCUGGACCAACACUGACACUGAGGAGCGAAAGCGUGGGGAGCGAACAGG
Molecule: ribosomal RNA, 253 nt
Filed under: uncultured bacterium
Lineage: Bacteria
Description: partial 16S ribosomal RNA
Rfam family: Bacterial small subunit ribosomal RNA
Source: RNAcentral